Molecule: long non-coding RNA, 624 nt
Organism: Chenopodium quinoa (quinoa)
Lineage: Eukaryota; Viridiplantae; Streptophyta; Magnoliopsida; Caryophyllales; Amaranthaceae
Exons: 3
Source: RefSeq, a predicted model, not a curated record
AAAUGUUAAAAUGAACUCUAAUUUCCGAAAAUACACAUCUUAGACCACGCUUGGUGUCUAUUUGUUUGGAUGUUGGAGAGUUUCUUAGUUAAAUUGAUUGUUAGGUUUUAUUAGGAAAUUUUGAAUUGAUUGAUAGGUUUUAUUAGGAAAUUUUGAAUAAAGUAGAGAUUAUUAGUAACCUUGUUAAUUAAUUAGUUGAAUUUGGUUGUAUGUUUUAAUGUGUAAUUUUAGGUGGUUUUAUAGUUCUUGACAAAAUUACUAACUUUUAUUUUUUGUUUUAUUUUUUAUUUUUGUAGAUUCAUAUUAUGAAGUGAAGCACAAGUUUAUUAGCUAUUCAAGUGGGAAGUUUGAGACAUUACAUCCAUUAUACUUGCUAUAUUGUAUUAUGAAGAAGAUACAUGGUCGUGCUCCACGGGGUCAUACAUGGAAAUCACCUAUGUUUUGCAAGGUGCAAAAGGGAGAUCCGUUAACAAUCAAGGAGCUUAAUGAAGUUCGAGACAUAUUGGCAUUUUUCAUCACCUUCAAUUUGUAAAUGUGGCAUCAUUUUGAAUUUAUACUUUGUUAAUUGUUAACUUUUAAACUACAAUAUUGACUACUUAUUAGUAUUGUUUGUAUUUAUUUAUA